RNAcentral lists this long non-coding RNA (218 nucleotides) under Elaeis guineensis (African oil palm). RNAcentral describes it as "long non-coding RNA (EGUI_LNC064311)". Lineage: Eukaryota; Viridiplantae; Streptophyta; Magnoliopsida; Arecales; Arecaceae. The record is from RNAcentral.
UAUGAGUAUCCACCAGAAUCAACCUCGAAUCGAUCUUCUCAUAGUAGAUCUUUCUUAUUUAACUAGGAUCUCAGCUUUUACAACCUCGAUCAACUCUUUGAUCUAGAUUGUGGAAUCAACUCCUUGAUCUGCAGUCUUUUCUCUUUGUUCCUCACUCUGGAUGAAGACUCCUCAACUCUUGGUGUGUAGAAUGGUGGGACGCCCAACCUUUGGGCAUG